Molecule: ribosomal RNA, 490 nt
Filed under: uncultured bacterium
Lineage: Bacteria
Description: bacterial SSU rRNA
Rfam family: Bacterial small subunit ribosomal RNA
Source: RNAcentral
GACGAACGCUGGCGGCGUGCUUAACACAUGCAAGUCGAACGAGAAUCUACAGAUCGAGGAUUCGUCCAAGUGAAGUAGAGGACAGUGGCGGACGGGUGAGUAACGCGUGAGGAACCUGCCUUUCAGAGGGGGACAACAGUUGGAAACGACUGCUAAUACCGCAUGACACAUUGGGGUCGCAUGGCUCUGAUGUCAAAGAUUUAUCGCUGAAAGAUGGCCUCGCGUCUGAUUAGCUAGUUGGUGAGGUAACGGCCCACCAAGGCGACGAUCAGUAGCCGGACUGAGAGGUUGACCGGCCACAUUGGGACUGAGAUACGGCCCAGACUCCUACGGGAGCAGCAGUGGGGAAUAUUGGGCAAUGGGCGCAAGCCUGACCCAGCAACGCCGCGUGAAGGAAGAAGGCUUUCGGGUUGUAAACUCUUUGUCAGGGACGAGUAGAAGACGGUACCUGACGAAUAAGCCACGGCUAACUACGUGCCAGCAGCCGCGG